UGAUUUGAGUUCAGACCGGUGAAAACCAGGUCGGUUUCUAUCUUUUUUAAAAAUGUACCAGUACGAAAGGACCUUACAACUUACUAAAAAU
Molecule: ribosomal RNA, 91 nt
Filed under: Dysdera coiffaiti
Lineage: Eukaryota; Metazoa; Arthropoda; Arachnida; Araneae; Dysderidae
Description: partial 16S ribosomal RNA
Source: RNAcentral